AACGCACAUUGCGCCCUCUGGUAUUCCGGGGGGCAUGCCUGUUCGAGCGUCAUUACAACCCUCAAGCUCUGCUUGGUAUUGGGCGUCACCACUUGGUGCACCCUAAAAUCAGUGGCGGUGCCACCUGGUUUCUAGCGUAGUAAUACUUCUCGCUAUGGAGUCUAGGUGUGCUCUUGCCAUCAACCCCUAAUUUUACAGGUUGACCUCGGAUCAGGUAGGGAUACCCGCUGAACUUAA
Molecule: unclassified non-coding RNA, 237 nt
Filed under: uncultured Leotiomycetes
Lineage: Eukaryota; Fungi; Ascomycota; Leotiomycetes
Description: sequence contains ITS2
Rfam family: 5.8S ribosomal RNA (bases 1-52)
Source: RNAcentral